Harpegnathos saltator (Jerdon's jumping ant) is the source of this 472-nucleotide long non-coding RNA. RefSeq lists it as uncharacterized. The transcript has 3 exons. The record is from RefSeq and is a predicted model, not a curated record. Lineage: Eukaryota; Metazoa; Arthropoda; Insecta; Hymenoptera; Formicidae.
UUGGUGCAGAAAAUCCUUUUUUCCGGAACCUUGAAAACAAAGUUAAUUUGAUAUAUAUAUGGACGAAAAGGUUAUCCGCUAAUCAAUGCUUUGGAGCAUAAUCGAACAGUCCAAAGAGAAAACUUAUCACCUAGAAAUUUAUCCGAAACAAGUUCUGCCAUUGGACAUUUGGCUGAACGAAUCGAAAAACGAUGGCCAACUUUUUCUUUACGACUGUACGUAUGAUGCAUUUGUGGAACGAUCACGCAGUAAUGCGUAACAUGAUGUGCAUGAUGCGGUUUGCGGAACGCAGCCCAAAGUAAUUCUUGGAUCUGGCAUACAGAACGAAGUUUUAAAUGCAUUAAUUACUGUAUAUCAGACUAAUAAUUACAAAAAUUUCUCUAAGGCUAAAGCAUGUAAAAAUAUUUCACACAAUAAGGUCGAAACAACAGAUGUUAUGACUCAGGAAAUAGGAAUAAAUGCAAGUAAUGGA